RNAcentral lists this ribosomal RNA (468 nucleotides) under uncultured bacterium. Its description in RNAcentral is "partial 16S ribosomal RNA". It matches the Rfam family "Bacterial small subunit ribosomal RNA", at positions 28 to 507 of the family's 1533-position model. The record is from RNAcentral.
GACGAACGCUGGCGGCGUGCUUAACACAUGCAAGUCGAACGGAAAGGCCCUGCCUUUGUGGGGUGCUCGAGUGGCGAACGGGUGAGUAACACGUGAGUAACCUGCCCUUGACUUUGGGAUAACUUCAGGAAACUGGGGCUAAUACCGGAUAGGAGCUCCUGCUGCAUGGGGGGGGGUGGAAAGUUUCGGCGGUUGGGGAUGGACUCGCGGCUUAUCAGCUUGUUGGUGGGGUAGUGGCUUACCAAGGCUUUGACGGGUAGCCGGCCUGAGAGGGUGACCGGCCACAUUGGGACUGAGAUACGGCCCAGACUCCUACGGGAGGCAGCAGUGGGGAAUAUUGCACAAUGGGCGGAAGCCUGAUGCAGCAACGCCGCGUGCGGGAUGACGGCCUUCGGGUUGUAAACCGCUUUCGCCUGUGACGAAGCGUGAGUGACGGUAAUGGGUAAAGAAGCACCGGCUAACUACGUG